RNAcentral lists this ribosomal RNA (450 nucleotides) under uncultured Glomeromycotina. Its description in RNAcentral is "SSU rRNA". It matches the Rfam family "Eukaryotic small subunit ribosomal RNA", at positions 569 to 1025 of the family's 1831-position model. The record is from RNAcentral. Lineage: Eukaryota; Fungi; Glomeromycota.
AGCAGCCGCGAUAAUUCCAGCUCCAAUAGCGUAUAUUAAAGUUGUUGCAGUUAAAAAGCUCGUAGUUGAAUUUCGGGAUCAAUUUAUUGGUCGUGCUAUUGUACGUACUGGUAUUAUUGAUUCCUACCUUCUGACGAACCAUGAUGUCAUUAAUUUGGUGUCUUGGGGAAUCAGGACUGUUACUUUGAAAAAUUAGAGUGUUUAAAGCAGGCUCACGCUUGAAUACAUUAGCAUGGAAUAACGAAAUAGGACGUUUGAUUCUAUUUUGUUGGUUUCUAGGAUCGACGUAAUGAUUAAUAGGGAUAGUUGGGGGCAUUAGUAUUCAAUUGUCAGAGGUGAAAUUCUUGGAUUUAUUGAAGACUAACUACUGCGAAAGCAUUUGCCAAGGAUGUUUUCAUUAAUCAAGAACGAAAGUUAGGGGAUCGAAGACGAUCAGAUACCGUCGUAGUC